This 929-nucleotide long non-coding RNA is filed under the name Anser brachyrhynchus (Pink-footed goose). RNAcentral describes it as "lncRNA (ENSABRG00000000139.1)". The record is from RNAcentral. Lineage: Eukaryota; Metazoa; Chordata; Aves; Anseriformes; Anatidae.
GAGAAUUUCUGUUCCAGGUGUAAGGUGUCUCUAAAAUGCCAGCGGAGAUUCACUGAUGCGGGAAGGUAGCAGAUGUCUGGCUCUCUAAAUGUGCAAAAUUAGAAGCCAGGUUCAAGGUGACCACUGGGAAAUUCCUAAUCCUCUGAAGAAUCCAUUUUCUUUUGUGAGAAGCAGCCGCCAUCUUCUUAAGGUUUGCAAUGUAAGAAUGCAUCAGUGGUGUUUGCCCAGAAAAUGACUGGGCCAAUUGGAUUCUCACUGGAAAUCUAGUUCAGUGAGCUGAUAUGAAACUGCAAAAGUAUUUCUGCGGAAAAAUUGGAAACAAAGAUUCUUCUGAUACAGCAAAAAAUGUGAUUAUGAUAUUCUGAAUAUGCAACUUGGAAAUUUGCAAAUCAAAUAUGAGGGGGGAGCAGGAGCGACGUCCUAUUCUGUCUCAGAUUGUGAAGGAAAUCUGACUCAGCAGCACAAUGGAAAUUACAAAUUUAUCCAACAUUCCUGGCUACUAAGAUGUAAUUGUGCAUCUAAAGCUAACGGGAUCUCCUUAAGGCACCAAAUGACCAAUACUGUCUUCAAGACAUUUUUAUUUCCAAGACAAAAUAUUGAUAUUCUGUAAUAAUGUAAGUACAAAAAUAUUGCUUAAUAUACCCUAGUAGAACUUGUUUGUGUUAUGGUAGUCAUCUAGUAUGCUAUUUGUUGUGAUUACUAACCCUUAACAAGAACAGUGUGUGCUGUUACCUAUUUUGUUAGUUAUUUUUCCAGCUGCUGCUUUUCAUUUAAAAUCUCUCUUCAAUCAUCUGCAACAUCGCUGCUUUUUAUAAAGUAACAAAACACUAUGCACUAUUUUUUUGAUUAAAUUUAGUUGUGUUACAUGUAUAGCUGACAGGCUAAUAUCUCAUCCUAUGAUAUUAAAUAAACAUCUUUUCCUCCCAUCA